Molecule: long non-coding RNA, 2230 nt
Filed under: Rattus norvegicus (Norway rat)
Lineage: Eukaryota; Metazoa; Chordata; Mammalia; Rodentia; Muridae
Description: long non-coding RNA NONRATT001152
Source: RNAcentral
GCCAAUUCUGAACUCACAAGUACUUUUAAAACAGAGCCCUUUCCUCCCCACAUUCCCAUGCCUGCGUCAACACCGAGAUUCUUCCUGGUGAACACUUGUUUGAAUCUGGUCACAAGGAUGUUUGAUGGCAGUGGAGCCUGAAUUUGUCCUCUCUAUAGUGAAUGGCAAUCCAAGUGUCCCUGUUGGUGGACAGAGUACAAGUCCCACAUAGCCCGAGCUUCAUACACACGAAUGAUUCCUAAGCAGCUCGAUUAUCCCUCACGGGAUGGUUAUUGAGAGCCAACCUAGAGUGGAAGACUUGAGUCAGUCCUCACCAGUGUGUUUGCUAUUCACCUGUCUCAGUAUUAAAUUGUGAAUGAAAAGCCAGUGUUUGGGCUCAUACCGGAACCUUGGAGGAGUGGACCCUUCUAGAAGUGUGAGAACCCUGCAGUCAAUCGGAGGAAGGACACUUUCCACCACCUGUUCCAUCCAGGCAGUUCUAAGGCCACCACUAUACAUGUCCUAUGGACAUUCAGGAUUGGGCUUUGAUUAGUCGUCAGUCAGAUGGGUCACUCUGAAGGAAAGGUUUGGUAGUUGGCACUAUACCACUGAUAAAAAGUAUUAGCAAAGUAUACUUCAAAUUAACUGACAUGACCAAGAGCUUUUCUCUUUAAAAAGAUGGAUUUUAUUGUAUAUAGUUUCUCAAAAUAUUUUUAACUGGAUCAUGAGCAUGGGGAGAGAAAGAUUCUCAGCUGCUAUGAAUUUCCCCACUGUUUACUUCUCUCAUUUACAGUGGUAUUGUGUAAGAUUACAAAAUUUUAGGUUUUAUUUGUAUCUAUUACCCAAACCAUUAAAUUGUCUUUAAUUUCAUCAUUGUCUUAGAAGCCCAGUGCAUGAAGAGCUGAUGGGGGGAAGCCCCUCUAGCCACUCAGCGCUCUGACCCAGGAUUAAAACCACCCAUCAAAUAGUGUGUGAAGUCCAGUCUUUGUAAACUCUCUCAGACCAAACGUUAUUGAAGUGAACUCAUCCAUAUAAUCUAAGUCCUGUAAGUGGAAGGACAAACAGCUGCCAGCAGCUGCUUUUAAAGGGUCACUAUGAUCACUACAUAGCACAGUAUUAAUUUAUAGCAGGAAUCAUAUCUUGUAAAAUGUAUAUAUAAAACACUUUUAUGGUGCAAUCAUUUGUCAGAUUUUGUCUGUUACAUUGUUCUUAGAGUGUACAUUCUCUCAUGCCUAAGAAUAUCACUGUAAAAUCUGCUGAAAACUAUUUUUAGGUUUUAUUUGCACAAGACUGAACUAGUUUGAGUUUUUGGGAAGCUCCUAUCGAACAAGCCUACACAUCUGUAAAGAUAAAAACCUUCAGUUCAUUAAAAGCAACCAUUAGUACAAUUCUUUCAAGGUAAUCCACGUUCUGUGUUGUUAGUGUGUGGGUGGGAUGUUUCUGACUUUCCCAUCUCUCACAAUUCUUUCCAAGGUAAUCCAUGUUCUGUGUUGUUGGUGUGUGGGUGGAAUGUUUCUGACUCUCCCAUCUCUCACAAACCUAUUUUCUGUUCCAUCUGUUUUGUUUUUGAAGGAUGCCUUCUUUUUCUUUUGUAAUGUUCUAGAUGACCAAAACACAUUCUUGGGUUUUGCCUACAGCUUUGAUUUCUCCGUGUGUUGUUGUAUGAGUUCACUGUUUAAUCUCUUCAGUGAAAUAGAUAGUCCUGGUGACAGGCAAUCUGUUGGUUUAGAGGAAAGGUCCUGAAAAAGUGUUGGAAAUUAACUUUGGAUCUGUUCUUAGCUGUUAUUUUGCAUCAUGGGCUUCAUGAGAAGAACAUGUUGCAUUUAUUUUGUCUUUAUUAAAAGACUACUAGUCACCAGUUACUCUGGUCAUAGUAACUGUUUUAUCAACCCACUUUGAUCUUUUUUUUAAGGAUUAAAUUUUCAUUCACAAGUCAAAACAGUAAGCUGUCUUUUAGAAAAGUUUUGAAGGAUAAAAAUAUAUGAAGGAGAAAGGCGGUCUGUGUAGGUGGAAUCGUCUACACAGAAUUUUAGUUGUGUGGCCUUGAGAGACUUUAGGUUGUGGUCAAGGACUGUAUAUUAUCCAAAACUUUAUUAAGAAUUGUUUUCUAAUUGGUUAUAACAUUUUUUCAAUUAAUAGUUUCAAAACAAAUUGUUAAUACAACUGUAUAAAGUGAACAUAAUUUUCUUCACUUGUAUUUUUGUUAUUGAGCAAGUUUAUCAAAAUAAAUUGUCUACUAAAGAAACUAAAA